AGAAAAGAAAUUGUUUUUUUUUUAAUAAACAAAACAAACCCCUUUGGUAUGCUAUUUAUACCCAUACUUGGUAUAAAUCAUCAUUUCAAUACAACCUUCUUUGGAUUUGCACUCAUUUUUGACAAGAAGGUAGAAUCAUUUGUAUGCGUAUUUUAAAAUUGGUUAGAAGCAAUGGGUGGACGCCAACCUAGUGUUGUUUUCACUGAUCAAGACCAUGUGAUUUCUAAAGCAGUGAGACGAGUUUUAGACCAAAGUAAGCAUCAUUAUGAUAAGUAGCAUAUACUUGCGAAGAUUAAGGAAAAACUGUGCCAUGUAUUGCAUAGGCAUCCAACGUUUUCAAAAACCUUUAAGAGGUGUGUGGCUAGCGCAACAAACGAAGAAUUUGAAUUGGGAUGGAAAUCUAUGAUUGAGAAGUAUCAGUUGGAAAGCAACGAAUUACUGUCGCUGGCAAUGAGUUGAUGUGUAUUUGAGCAAGACGUUCACAGCGUGCAUGACUUCCACUCAAAGAAGUGAGUGCAUGAAUAAGCUCUUCAAGGUGGACCUAGCUUUCUCAACAAGUUUACAUACAUUAUUAGAAGUUUCUACACAAGUGCAAGAUAAAAAGGUGCGAAAAAGAGAAGGAACAUGACUUGAAAAACAUUACAACUACCCCAAUCUUAAGAACAACUUCUUUCAUUGAGACACAAGCAUCAAAGUCCUAUACUCAAAAUAUUUUGAAGCUAUUUGGGGAAGAGGUGGCAAAUUGUAUGAAUUUUAUGAGUGAGUCAAUUGAGGACAAUGGAUUGGUUGCCACCUUUAAGGUUGCAUUGCCAAGAACUAGAUCUAGACCCUACAUUGUGGAAUUCGAUUCCAGUGACAAGAGUGUUUAUUGCAGUUGUCACUUAUAUGAGAGGAUUGGCCUUUUUUGUAGGCAUAUGCUUGGGGUUCUUAUGGUGAAAAAUGUAUUUGAAAUCCCUCCACAAUACAUAAUGAGGCGUUGGACAAAGGAUAUGAAGAAAGGGGUUUUCUUUGAUGACAAUGGCAAACAAAUUCCACUACCACGCUUCAUUCGAUAUAAUGAGUUAUGUCAUGCAACUCGAUACCUUGCCGAGCGCGCUUCAGAGAGUGUGAAGCCCUACGAAUUUGUAAUGUCCAUGAUACACAAUACAGUUUCUCAGGUUGAUAGUAAAUUCGCGCGUAAGAGAGGUGCACAGGAUGACACCAUGAUCAAUUGUAAUGUCAAAGAAAAUGCAAUUGUUGAUGAAAAUGCAGGUAGUUGUAGUAACACACCAACUGAAAGUUACCAUUGCCAAAAUAUCCUUGAGCCUCCACGAGCAUGGACAGAAGGGCGAGCUACCAAUAAAAGAAAGAAAGCUCAAUCAGAAGGUUGGAAGUUGAAGGAAAGUAUUAAGAAGCCGAAAGAAAAUACCAAGAAGUGCGCAGUUUGCAAGGGCGAUGGGCAUGACAAAAGAAACCAUCUAUUGUUUGUUCAUGCAAAGUAAUGCAUAACAUUAGAUUCUUUUGAAUUUUGAUCGUACGAGCUUCGUAAUUCUUGAUGUAAUAGAGCUUCCAUAUAAUUGGAGCUUCCAUAUAAUCGUAGUACUUUGAAAUGCAAUAUGAAAUGCUAACAGUGCAAUUUGUCUUCUGUAUUCAGGGAUAGUGACAAAAUCUGCUAUAUGUCUCGGUCUGAUAAGAUCGUGGAGCAUGACCAUUGAUGGUUGGGAGCAACAAUGGUGGGUCGAGCUCUGCCUAUGCUUUUGUGAUAUCCAACAGAUACUUGGAUGGAUGAAGAGCAUGAUAUGAUCUCAAUCCAAUAUGAAAAUGGUUCAUUUUGUACUUACUAUAUUUUUUGAUAGACUCAACGCGCUGUUCUUGAGGUUUUAUGAUGAUUGAUCUGCACUUUAUGUUUCUUUUUAACUAAAUUCUGUGAUGUACUUUGCGUUAAAAAAAAAAAAAAAAAAUCUGUGAUGUACUUGAAAGAGAAGAUUGCAGGUUUGCGAUGUGGUCGUGUGGCUGUUGAAAACAGGUGAGCAUUUCAUUGAUUACAUAUUACUAUUUCUAUGACAGUAGCCACUUUUCUUUCUUAAUUUGUUGUUCAUGGUGUCUUUCAUGGGCAAGUUAGUAAUAUUUGCGAUGCUAUUGAUUGAAGACACACCAUGAUAUUGAUGGAAAUCUAGUGUUGAAACCUUGUGGUAAAACGUAGAACCAGAAACUGAUGGAAUUUCGUGGCCAUGCGUUUGAUUGUAGGAUCAUAUAAAUAAUGGAAUAAAGAAAUUGGUGUUUUU
This is a non-coding RNA of Amborella trichopoda, 2264 nucleotides long. Lineage: Eukaryota; Viridiplantae; Streptophyta; Magnoliopsida; Amborellales; Amborellaceae. The record is from RefSeq and is a predicted model, not a curated record.